GGUACAUGAUAGAUGACCUAC
This 21-nucleotide non-coding RNA is filed under the name Arabidopsis thaliana (thale cress). Lineage: Eukaryota; Viridiplantae; Streptophyta; Magnoliopsida; Brassicales; Brassicaceae. The record is from RNAcentral.